This is a long non-coding RNA of Homo sapiens (human), 571 nucleotides long. Ensembl annotates it as NmrA like redox sensor 2, pseudogene. Its record names the gene NMRAL2P. Lineage: Eukaryota; Metazoa; Chordata; Mammalia; Primates; Hominidae. The record is from Ensembl.
AAACACAGCAUUUCGGCUGGUGUCGCUGCUCCAGGGAAAGUUCUGUUACUCCACUGACUCUCUCUUUUCCUGAUAACAUGGCCAGCAAGAAAGUAAUUACAGUGUUUGGAGCAACAGGAGCUCAAGGUGGCUCUGUGGCCAGGGCAAUUUUGGAGAGCAAAAAAUUUGCAGUGAGAGCAGUGACCAGGGAUGUGACUUGACCAAAUGCCCUGGAGCUCCAGCGCCUUGGAGCUGAGGUGGUCAAAGGUGACCUGAAUGAUAAAGCAUCGGUGGACAGUGCCUUAAAAGGGGAAGCUGGUGGCAGACUCCGCCAAGCACCUGGGUCUGAAGCACGUGGUGUACAGCGGCCUGGAGAACGUCAAGCGACUGACGGAUGGCAAGCUGGAGGUGCCGCACUUUGACAGCAAGGGCGAGGUGGAGGAGUACUUCUGGUCCAUUGGCAUCCCCAUGACCAGUGUCCGCGUGGCGGCCUACUUUGAAAACUUUCUCGCGGCGUGGCGGCCCGUGAAAGCCUCUGAUGGAGAUUACUACACCUUGGCUGUACCGAUGGGAGAUGUACCAAUGGAUGGUA